Molecule: ribosomal RNA, 462 nt
Filed under: Sanguirana igorota
Lineage: Eukaryota; Metazoa; Chordata; Amphibia; Anura; Ranidae
Description: partial 12S ribosomal RNA
Rfam family: Bacterial small subunit ribosomal RNA
Source: RNAcentral
AGCGCCAGGGAAUUACGAGCAAUGCUUAAAACCCAAAGGAUUUGACGGUAUCCCAUCCACCUAGAGGAGCCUGUUCUAUAAUCGAUACCCCCCGCUACACCCAACCACUCCUAGCCCAUCAGCCUGUAUACCUCCGUCGAAAGCCUACCAUGUGAAUGUUCUUAGUGAGCUUAAUGUCCCCGUCAAAACGUCAGGUCAAGGUGCAGCUCAUGGAGUGGAAAGCAAUGGGCUACAAUUUCUAAUCUAGAACAUACGAAAAACUAGGUGAAACCCUAGUCAUGAAGGCGGAUUUAGCAGUAAAAAGAAAAUAGAGUGUUCUUUUUAACCCGGCCCUGGGAUGUGUACACACCGCCCGUCACCCUCUUCGACUGUAUUUAACAAUGUUCUAUAACUUCCCCCCACAUUUUAGAAGAGGCAAGUCGUAACACGGUAAGUGUACUGGAAAGUGCACUUGGCUAAUAC